RNAcentral lists this small nuclear RNA (119 nucleotides) under Otolemur garnettii (small-eared galago). Lineage: Eukaryota; Metazoa; Chordata; Mammalia; Primates; Galagidae. The record is from RNAcentral.
GUGCUCAUUUUGGCAGCACAUAUACUAAAAUUGGAAAGAUACAGAGAAGAUUAGCAUGGAGAUUAGCAUGGCCCCCAUGCAAGGAUGAUAUGCAAAUUUGUGAAGCAUUCCAUAUUUUU